This 1327-nucleotide ribosomal RNA is filed under the name uncultured bacterium. RNAcentral's name for it is "bacterial SSU rRNA". It matches the Rfam family "Bacterial small subunit ribosomal RNA", at positions 51 to 1386 of the family's 1533-position model. The record is from RNAcentral.
ACACAUGCAAGUCGAACGAUGAAGCCCAGCUUGCUGGGUGGAUUAGUGGCGAACGGGUGAGUAACACGUGAGUAACCUGCCCUUAACUCUGGGAUAAGCCUGGGAAACUAGGUCUAAUACCGGAUAGGAGCGUCCACCGCCAUGGUGGGUGUUGGAAAGAUUUAUCGGUUUUGGAUGGACUCGCGGCCUAUCAGCUUGUUGGUGAGGUAAUGGCUCACCAAGGCGACGACGGGUAGCCGGCCUGAGAGGGUGACCGGCCACACUGGGACUGAGACACGGCCCAGACUCCUACGGGAGGCAGCAGUGGGGAAUAUUGCACAAUGGGCGCAAGCCUGAUGCAGCGACGCCGCGUGAGGGAUGACGGCCUUCGGGUUGUAAACCUCUUUCAGUAGGGAAGAAGCGAAAGUGACGGUACCUGCAGAAGAAGCACCGGCUAACUACGUGCCAGCAGCCGCGGUAAUACGUAGGGUGCGAGCGUUAUCCGGAAUUAUUGGGCGUAAAGAGCUCGUAGGCGGUUUGUCGCGUCUGUCGUGAAAGUCCGGGGCUUAACCCCGGAUCUGCGGUGGGUACGGGCAGACUAGAGUGCAGUAGGGGAGACUGGAAUUCCUGGUGUAGCGGUGGAAUGCGCAGAUAUCAGGAGGAACACCGAUGGCGAAGGCAGGUCUCUGGGCUGUAACUGACGCUGAGGAGCGAAAGCAUGGGGAGCGAACAGGAUUAGAUACCCUGGUAGUCCAUGCCGUAAACGUUGGGCACUAGGUGUGGGGACCAUUCCACGGUUUCCGCGCCGCAGCUAACGCAUUAAGUGCCCCGCCUGGGGAGUACGGCCGCAAGGCUAAAACUCAAAGGAAUUGACGGGGGCCCGCACAAGCGGCGGAGCAUGCGGAUUAAUUCGAUGCAACGCGAAGAACCUUACCAAGGCUUGACAUGUUCUCGAUCGCCGUAGAGAUACGGUUUCCCCUUUGGGGCGGGUUCACAGGUGGUGCAUGGUUGUCGUCAGCUCGUGUCGUGAGAUGUUGGGUUAAGUCCCGCAACGAGCGCAACCCUCGUUCCAUGUUGCCAGCACGUCAUGGUGGGGACUCAUGGGAGACUGCCGGGGUCAACUCGGAGGAAGGUGAGGACGACGUCAAAUCAUCAUGCCCCUUAUGUCUUGGGCUUCACGCAUGCUACAAUGGCCGGUACAAUGGGUUGCGAUACUGUGAGGUGGAGCUAAUCCCAAAAAGCCGGUCUCAGUUCGGAAUUGGGGUCUGCAACUCGACCCCAUGAAGUCGGAGUCGCUAGUAAUCGCAGAUCAGCAACGCUGCGGUGAAUACGUUCCCGGGCCUUGUAC